UAUAAAUGUAAUUUAUUAAGCUAAAUUAGUAUUAGUUAUGUUCUUGAAAAUUAAAGAUUUUGGCGGUAUUUUAGUCUAUUCAGAGGAACCUGUUCUGUAAUUGAUAAUCCACGAUUUAAUUUACUUUUUUUAUUAAUUUACAUAUCAUCGUAAUUUAAAUAUUUUAUAAGAAUUUUAAUAUUUAAAAAUUUUAAUAAAAAAAUAAAUCAGAUCAAGGUGUAGUUUAUAAGAAAGAAGAAAUGGGUUACAUUAAUAAAUAAUUUAGGAUUAUNAUUUUUAAAAUAAUAUGAAUUUGGAUUUGAAAGUAAUUUUAAUUAAUUAAUUAAUUUGAUUUUAGCUCUAAAAUAUGC
Molecule: ribosomal RNA, 350 nt
Filed under: Gonioctena nigroplagiata
Lineage: Eukaryota; Metazoa; Arthropoda; Insecta; Coleoptera; Chrysomelidae
Description: partial 12S ribosomal RNA
Source: RNAcentral